UUGGGAUCCCUUUACGAAAUUGAAGAAGAUGGUUAUCUAGUCUUAAAUGUUUAGGUUAGUUAUUGUCUUAUUGAUACUUUAUCUUCAUGUUAUUUGUUUCUUUCUAGAUUUUUCCUACAAUCUGAUGUGCAAAAAAUGGGACUUAUUUUGCUUCUGUUGCAGAUCUCAUGUACAUGAUAUGCGCUAUUCCAAGCAAUGCUUUUGAAAAUGUGUGUUGCAUUCCCUUUGCUCACAACCAUUCUUGGCACUUUAAGUGGGAGAUAUGCUUACAUACCAUUCCAUUUAAGUUUCUUCAUAAUUUGAAUUAACUUUAUAUUUUCCUUUGACUACAAGUGUAUAUUCAAAAUUUCAUUAAUUGGUAGAUGCAUCAAAAAACAAGCUUAAUUUGGUAUGCUAGUUAUCUUUAGUAGCUAAUGUAAUUUGAUGCCUCAUGAAAAGAAAUCUCUUUAAUUGGCCUAACAUUACUGCAUAUUAUUUUUAUUUAGAGUUUUUAAUGCUUGAAAAUUAUUAAGAAUAAAGAGAGUGCCAUAAGGGUCCAAAAUUGUUUUUAUAAUCAUUACUUUUGAAAGUUAUACACUUUGGUACUUACUAGUUAUCAAGUUUUAAAUCAAUAUCCAAUGUUUGUUUCUUGUUUCAAAUGCUGAAGUGUUUUGUCAAGUAUGGAGGUGACAACCAGGCGAGAAGAAGAAAUCACAAACAUCUUGGCUUUGUUAAUUGGAUUAAGUAAGAGUUGGAUGGAGUCUGUUCCUCCAGACAUAAUGUCUUUUGUUAUGUUGGAUAUUUCAUCCAUUGAGUAAUAAAGCUUACACGUAUACAUUCUCAAAAAAAAAAAGUAAGAGUUGGAUACUAUUCUAUAGUAAGGUAUAUCUGGAUAUUCUUAUUAGUCUUCUGUCUAUUUUCCUCAUCAUUUUCUCCAUCCAUAAUAUUUUGUGCUGAAGCAACAUUUGACAAAGGGCCACAAAAGAAACUCUGUUUAUUUUUUUGUAAUGGUAGGAAGGCAAGUGUGAUGUUUCUUUUCUAGAGUAGUCUAUAUUAUAUCAUGGCAGAUGAAAGGUGAGCUUGGUAAUUGACCAAUUGUCAAUGUAUGAAUUUUCUAGCUUUAAUUUUUGAGGUUUAUCAUCUACUUUGGUAAUUAUCAACGUUUAGUGUUGUGGAUUUAGGAGGUUAAAAAUAGAAGCGUGUAGAUUUCUUGUCUUAGUGAUUGAAGAGUUAUGUGCCUUGGUAGAGGGGAAAGAGUGGGAUGAAGCUUGGUUUCUUACCAUUGGUUUGACAAUGGACAUACCUGAAUUAGAAGUCAAUAUUGGGAGGGUGGGUUCUGGGGGGGGUGUAGAGACUGAGGCAUUGAGGUCAUAUUACAUUGGUUGAAUCUAGGCUCUUCAAUUCUAAGUCACUCACAAGUACCUUUAUAUUCUUCUUGUGAUGCUGUUACAUUUCCAACCUUUAUGGGCCCAGGAAUGUUUUGAUCUCAUUCAAGAACAUCAUGCAAAAAUGUCCCAUUCUCAUUCAGCCUUAUCCAAUCUAAACAUCAUCAGCAGAAGGCUGUGUGUACAAAAGGUCCUUUAUCACUUCCAAGAUUCGGCCGCAAUAAGUUUAACCUGGAAUGCUGGUUUCUUUGAUCGUCUAUGUAGUUUGAUAACUGAUGAAAGCAAACUAGAUUUUUGUACAAGCCAAAUUCUUUCUCAGUGUGGAAGAGUGCAAAGCAUGGGAAGUGGCUGCCGGUAGGGAUGAAGAUAUUCUGAAUACUUUGGCUUCAUUAGCUAGAUUAAGUAACAAUCACAUAAUCUAUUUACCUGGAACAACAUUAUUGGAAGUGAAAUGAAUUUAUUAUUGGUUUAUCGUGACUUCUAUGUGGUCUCAUGUCAAUCAUGUCUCACUCAAGGAGUUCCCUCUGUUUUUUCCCAGCUUAAAGAUAUGGGCAAUUACAAAACACAAGACAACUAGAAGUGCUCCAUCCCUCUUCCUCCCCCCUCCUUUGUCUAAGAUAAAGUAUGUUACUUCUAAUUGAUGCUUAUUAUCCAGCCACAAGAAACAAUUCCCACUUUACAAGGGAGUUCCAAGGGCGAGCACUUGGACAUAUGAGCAUGGAUUCUGUACUGCCAAGGAAAUCACUGACAAGGCUCAUUAAGCCAGUAGCACAACCCGUUUUUGAAGUUAUUAGCAUGGAGAAUGUGGUGUUGUAUGCUAGAGUAUUAUUGGUGAUGAUCUAAAAGAUGGCCUCCAAUUUCAUUCUUCAUAGCCUUACUAUCCUCUAUUUUCUCCUUGUCACUAUGCUUAUA
This is a long non-coding RNA of Quercus lobata, 2276 nucleotides long. RefSeq lists it as uncharacterized. The record is from RefSeq and is a predicted model, not a curated record. The transcript has 3 exons. Lineage: Eukaryota; Viridiplantae; Streptophyta; Magnoliopsida; Fagales; Fagaceae.